This 2635-nucleotide unclassified non-coding RNA is filed under the name Hevea brasiliensis (rubber tree). Lineage: Eukaryota; Viridiplantae; Streptophyta; Magnoliopsida; Malpighiales; Euphorbiaceae. The record is from RNAcentral.
UGACGUAAAAGUAGCGUUGAAUAAAUGAGAAAUAAAGAGCUGUGUAAAUUAAGUCUUUUCCAAGAGUAAUUGCUAUGCAGGAAAUUUGUGAAGCUCAUAAAUCAAUACAAUGAACAGUAUCAGAGAAGUUACAAUACAUUGUAAACCCCUUCGCAUAAAUUAGAUAAAAAUGAAAACAAAAAAAAAUCUGCGAACCUCUAAAGGGGACAGACUUCAUCACUAGCUGCCAUUUCAUGUACAUGUUUCUAUUGACUGUGGCUCUUCCGUUGCAAAAUUACAAUCUUUACUGAAGUGAAAUGUUGGGGAAUAGCAGAAGCAGUCUGCAGCACUUAUGUCAUACGUUGAUCCCACAACAUAAUAGAGCACAGAUAUAUAUUUACACGCUAUCUCACUCUCUACUUUUCCUCUUUACUUUUUUUUUUUUUUUAAUCCAAAUUCCCCGUUCCUUUUCUAUGGAAUGCCCUGGCACAUCUGCAUCUCAACGUUCCUAGAUAGAGAAUCCAUAAAGAUUCUAUGCCCAUACAAACCCUGGCCUUUCUUGUACUCAGAGGAAAGAAAAAAAACAAAGAUGUGGCAAAUAUAUUAUUGCCCAGAUAAUGAAGAUACGAUGCCAAUCUUGUUUUCAAAUUCUCGUUUUUGUUGUUCAUCAGCCUGCUUCCGUGCUCUAUUAUAGAGCUCAAUAGUCUCACCAUGGCCUGAAUCAAGACAAAGGGCAGCUUCACAAUCUCGUAGGGUGGAGAUAUUAUCACCCAUUGAGUCAUAAAAUGCAGCACGAAGAUGUAGCAACUGCAAAUCUGGCUUGAAAACUAUGGCCUUUGACAGCUCUGCUAUGGCCUCAGCUUCUCUGUGGUCAUCCAUUAAAACAGCUGCCCUGUAUCUGUAAGUAUAGGUCCUCAAGGGAUCAAGUUGAGUUGCCAUACUAAGGUCGCUCUUUGCCAUGUCACGAUCACAGUACUCAGAACGCUUCUCAUAAGCAGAUGCAUUAUUCCUGGCUUUUUCUAUUAGUUUUGUCAUCUCAUCAUAUGCAGCUUUGCGUUGAUUUUUCAGAUGAUAUACUCGUGCCAGACCUUGAUGUGCUCUUGUAUGCUUGAUAUUGAGUGCAUUCAUGUAACAGUCAGCAGCAAGAUCCAGUUUACCACAAUCAACAUAGACACUCCCUAGAUUAUUCAGUGCCUACAGAGCAUAAAAAUCACCCAACUUAAACAAUAUCCAGUUGCAUUCAUAAUAAUAGGAUUGCUUCAGUGUUGGCACUCACUUGUCCUUUCCUGAGGCCAUCUGAAGGGCACCUAAGAGCUUCCUCCAGAAGUUCAAUAACAUACAUUGAUGACUUAGAAUCAAGACUUGAAUCUGCUAAAGCAUAUGCCUUAAGGAAAAAAGCCUCAAAUGAUCUCUGAAUUGAAACGGACUCCUCAGCCUUAGCAAGGGCUUCCUCUCGAUGGCCAGUGUCAUACAAAAUCCAUCCUUCAUAGACAAGCCUUUCAUGCUUAGAAGUAGCACAAUUUCUAGCCAACCGUAGACAACGCAUCGCAGCCUUUUGGCAAUUUAACCGUAAAAGCAGAAGGGAUUGCCGAAAACAUAGAAGGCUCUUCCCAGGGUCAUUUGCCAGCAUAUGGUGUACAACAGCCAAGGAGCCUAUAUCAUCAACAGAGGACCAUCUAUCAUAAAGAUGCAUCCAGCAAUCAGCCUGACUCCACUGCUGGACUAAAGGAUGAAGAAGUUCUACCAAGUGAUUCCCAUGCAUUUUCCCAUGAAACAUAAUAUAAUUUGGGUCUAAAGUCAAUAAUGCCCAGAUAUCUCUGAGAGCUCCUUCAUAGUCCUCCAAAACAAUUGAAAUCCAAGCUCUUAAUUCAAGGCAAUCAGGAGAGACCUUGAAACCAAUUAUUUUGUUGAGCUCUGAGAUUGCUGCUCCAAGUCUGUUCUCCUGCACCAACAAAACAGCCCUGUACUUGUAUGGAAAAGAAAGAGUUGGAUCCAAUUCAGUUGCUGUGUUCAAAUCCAUCAUCUUCUCCUUCCCAACACAAUAUAAAGACCUUUCCUGAUACAUCCACCCAGCUGGUUUAUAAUCAGAAACCAGUGAAUUCAUCAUCUUGUACGCUGAAUACUUGUGACCACGUUUGCACCUGGCCCUUGCAAUACCAACUGAUGAAUAAACAUGACCUACCUCAACUGCCGCUACAAACCAAUUCUGGGCGUCUUUAUAUUCUUUCCUUUCAAGCAUCACAACACCUAAUUGGUGAUAAGCAAGUUGUUUCUGCCAAACUUCAGUUGCACACUCUGCCAACCUCUCCAAAAGCAUCACCGUUGCAUUGGAUUUCAUGUCUUCCUCCAAAGCAAUCUGACUCAAGAAGUAAUACAACAAAAAUGAAGCAUGUCCAACCAGAGCCAAUUUCUCCCUACCCUGUGAACUACAAAACAAUCUCAUCACAUUUGAAUUGUACAUUGAAUUUGGAAGCUCUCUCAAAAACACCUGUAAACAAGCAGCAACUAAAAGAUAUGCAGUCUCCUCCAAACCAAACUCAAUUAAAACCAUGGCCUCCUCCAUUUCUGAAACCAAAGAUGCCAAAUGGGCAUCACAAGCUGACUUCAAUUCCUCGCAACAAAACCUGUUUGCCAAAGAAAGAAGCUCUAAUACGAU